UCGCAUAUAAUUUAUAUGAGGAAAGUCUGAGCUUCAUAGAGCAAGGUGCUGGAUAACGUCCAGUGGAGGCGACUCCAAGGCAAGUGCAACAGAAAUAUACCGCCAUUUAUGGUAAGGGUGGAAAGGUGAGGUAAGAGCUCACCAAAAUGUAGGUGACUACAUUGUUAUGUAAACCCCACCUGAAGCAAGACCAAGAAAAGACGUAAAAUAAAGUGGCUCGCUUUAGUCUAAAAGGUAGGUCGCUUGAUGUAAGUGGUAACACUUAUACUAGAUAGAUGAUUAUUUUUAACUAAACUCAGCUUAUAGGUCUACUA
RNAcentral lists this RNase P RNA (314 nucleotides) under uncultured Peptoanaerobacter sp. RNAcentral's name for it is "Bacterial RNase P class A". It matches the Rfam family "Bacterial RNase P class A". Rfam says of the family: Ribonuclease P (RNase P) is a ubiquitous endoribonuclease, found in archaea, bacteria and eukarya as well as chloroplasts and mitochondria. Its best characterised activity is the generation of mature 5'-ends of tRNAs by cleaving the 5'-leader elements of precursor-tRNAs. The record is from RNAcentral. Lineage: Bacteria; Bacillati; Bacillota; Clostridia; Peptostreptococcales; Filifactoraceae.